RNAcentral lists this small nuclear RNA (103 nucleotides) under Aotus nancymaae (Ma's night monkey). The record is from RNAcentral. Lineage: Eukaryota; Metazoa; Chordata; Mammalia; Primates; Aotidae.
GUGCUCACUUUGUCAGCACAUAUACUAAAAUUAGAAUGAUAUAGAGAUUAGCAUGGCACCUGUGCAAGGAUAUAUGAAAGUUUUUGAAGCAUACUAUAUUUUU